UGGCGGACGGGUGAGUAACGCGUGGGGAACCUGCCCUGUACAGGGGGAUAACACUUAGAAAUAGGUGCUAAUACCGCAUAAGCGCACAGUAUCGCAUGAUACAGUGUGAAAAACUCCGGUGGUACAGGAUGGACCCGCGUCUGAUUAGCUGGUUGGCGGGGUAACGGCCCACCAAGGCGACGAUCAGUAGCCGGCCUGAGAGGGUGAACGGCCACAUUGGGACUGCGACACGGCCCAAACUCCUACGGAAGGCAGCAG
RNAcentral lists this ribosomal RNA (258 nucleotides) under uncultured bacterium. RNAcentral's name for it is "partial 16S ribosomal RNA". It matches the Rfam family "Bacterial small subunit ribosomal RNA", at positions 96 to 354 of the family's 1533-position model. The record is from RNAcentral.